Hyla sarda is the source of this 1615-nucleotide long non-coding RNA. RefSeq lists it as uncharacterized. Lineage: Eukaryota; Metazoa; Chordata; Amphibia; Anura; Hylidae. The record is from RefSeq and is a predicted model, not a curated record. The transcript is spliced from 5 exons.
CUUCUCCUCUAGACAGGUUUUGAUAAAUCUCCCACAUUGUGUGCACAGACAACCACUUUCCCAUGGACUUACGUAGAGCACAGUAAAGAAAGUUUGGUUAUCCCCAUGAACCAGUGAUUGAGUCACCAACAAAUGAAGUUAUGAAUGAUUACUGGCAGCAUGGAGAUCGCAUAUUAAUUUAUUACCAAUUCCAUCACAAGAUGUCAGAGACACCAGAGCUGAGAAAGGAGUCUGACACAAGGGAUCUAGAGAAUGGGUGUUGUGCCGGCCCACAGGAGAGCUGGAGAGGGCAGAGUCUGGCGCACUGGGAAUCUUCAAAAAGGAGUUAUGUGGCACAUAAGAAGGUUGGGAAAGGUGUGGUCCAACAUUUAAAGGAUGAGAAUGCGCUGACAUAGUGAGGAGACGUCUGGGUGUCACAUUCUGCAGAGAGAAGUUUUAGCUGGAACAAGUCCUGGCGCGGGUUUUCAAUUAGACUUUAAAAAGGAGUAACUGAUAAUUUGGGAUGUAUGUGAGGGGCCCCAGCCCUGGUUGACCCCACCCUUUUGUUACUGGGAGGCAAGAAACAACGCAGGAAACAUCACUGUUUGCCAUUGUGUUCUCCUCUCUUCUCUUUGACGUAAAGUAAAAGUUUCUUAUGUUACAACAUUUUUGUUUUAUUUCCCCGUCAAGUUAGUGUAAUGUACAGUUUUGAUCAAACUAAUAGUUGUAUACGAAAAAGACAAUGUAAUCUUGAGUCCUGCCAACAUUUAAACAUGUUAAGAACUUUGAAAGCUUAACACUAGUAAAACUAAGACAGUUUAGAUAAGAAAGUCCACUGAGAGUGUCAGGGACUUCAUUUCUCAGCAUGUAAAAAUGGAAGAUCUCACAGGCCAGAUGCAUACAACACAUAAAACUUUACUGUACUGCAUAACUAUUACAAAGAAAGAAUGUUACCAAUUUGUUCAGCUAUAAAAUUGUGAUACUUUUCUUACACUGUUUGAAAUGAUGGAGUUAUCCCUUCAACUUCUAAAAGGAAAGCAUCUCCAAUCACCUAUACUGUUACUGUUCAUUCCGUCAUUAAACAGGGUUAACGGAAAGUUCACACUGAAUCGCUGCUCACAUUCUAAGCACUGGAUAAAGUUCUCAGCCAACGUAAACAUUACUUACAAGUACUCCCAAAGUCUCAUCACUAGCACUAUAGUAGGCUGAACGUGUUGGUGACUGGGAUAGACAACAUAACUCCCAGGAUCAAAUGAAGUCUUCUACUCCCAAUUUGCAUACAAAUAUCAUAUUUAUGCAGUGGAACCUAAUAAUCUAGAUACCCAACACCUCUUCCACAAGUGAAAAGAAACAGAACCUAGAGAACUAUGAGUGAAAUGACGGACUCUGUAUAAACACCAUGGACACUCUCUUCAGCACAGAUCAGCCUGUUACAUUAUGUAAUCACACGGCUCACCAUGCAGCAUGACCUGGUAAUUUGCUUUCUGUUUAUCUGGCUCAUAUUUGAAAUGUUUCUUCCUGAAGCAUAUUGGACAGAACGUUACCAGUAAAUACUCCAUGGAAAUGGUUUAUGCUGUAACUUUUAAAGAAAGCCACGCUUUUGAUCAAUAUUUCAUAGGUGAAAUCUAUGUGAAAU